Molecule: ribosomal RNA, 274 nt
Filed under: uncultured bacterium
Lineage: Bacteria
Description: partial 16S ribosomal RNA
Rfam family: Bacterial small subunit ribosomal RNA
Source: RNAcentral
AUACGAAGGGGGCUAGCGUUGUUCGGAAUUACUGGGCGUAAAGCGCGCGUAGGCGGACUGAUCAGUUGGGGGUGAAAUCCCAGGGCUUAACCCUGGAACUGCCUCCAAUACUGUCAGUCUUGAGUUCGGGAGAGGUGAGUGGAAUUCCCAGUGUAGAGGUGAAAUUCGUAGAUAUUAGGAAGAACACCAGUGGCGAAGGCGGCUCACUGGCCCGAUACUGACGCUGAGGCGCGAAAGCGUGGGGAGCAAACAGGAUUAGAAACCCUAGUAGUCC